RNAcentral lists this ribosomal RNA (406 nucleotides) under uncultured bacterium. Its description in RNAcentral is "partial 16S ribosomal RNA". It matches the Rfam family "Bacterial small subunit ribosomal RNA", at positions 30 to 526 of the family's 1533-position model. The record is from RNAcentral.
AUUGAACGCUAGCGGGAUGCUUUACACAUGCAAGUCGAACGAGUGGCGGACGGGUGAGUAAUAUAUCGGAACGUGCCCAGUAGCGGGGGAUAACUACUGGAAACGGUAGCUAAUACCGCAUACAAUCGGAUGUGCCCAGAUGGGAUUAGCUUGUUGGUGGGGUAACGGCUCAACAAGGCGACGAUCCCUAGCUGGUCUGAGAGGAUGACCAGCCACACUGUAACUGAGACACGGUCCAGUCGCCUACGAGAGGCAGCAGUGGGGAAUAUUGCACAAUGGGCGCAAUCCUGAUGCAGCCAUGCCGCGUGUAUGAAGAAGGCCUUCGGGUUGUAAAGUACUUUCAGCGGGGAUGCGUUACCCGCAGAAGAAGCACCGGCUAACUCCGUGCCAGCAGCCGCGGUAAUUC